Long non-coding RNA from Pseudoliparis swirei, 1343 nucleotides. RefSeq lists it as uncharacterized. NCBI's taxonomy places the organism in Eukaryota, Metazoa, Chordata, Actinopteri, Perciformes, Liparidae. The transcript has 2 exons. The record is from RefSeq and is a predicted model, not a curated record.
UUAAAAAGCAGAACCCCCGCAAAGCAGCGGGCCCGGACUCCGUCUCCCCCUCCACCCUGAAGCACUGUGCUGACCAGCUGUCUCCGGUGUUCACUGACAUCUUCAACACCUCCCUGGAGACAUGCCACGUUCCAGCCAGUGGUGUAUAGUAACGAAGUAGAAGUACUUCGUUACUUUACUUAAGUAGUUUUUUUGGGUAUCUGUACUUUAUUUUACUACUUAUAUUUCUGUUUACUUUUACUUCACUACAUUUUGCAAUGAAAACUUGUACUUUUACUCCGAUACAUUUCCCCUGAAACAGUAUCGUUACUCGUUACUACGGAAAAAAAUAAUCAUGAGAAACAUCGGGGACUGUUGUGGAACACACCGCAGCGCACCUGAACGCAGCACAUCGGGGACUGUUGUGGAACACACCGCAGCGCACCUGAACGCAGCACGAACACGCAGGUGGUCAGUGGUCCUUGCCGCGUGUUUUCUGUUCCCAGUGAUGCCCAGGAUGCUAGCGAGCGAGCGGCUACAGAUACGACUCAUUUCAUGUGGAGCAGCAAUGGAAGCUACUCGAACAACCACGGGGACCAAGAUCAACGUCCGUGGCCAUAUUUGGGCGAACUCUUUUCUUUUGUCGGAGUGAAAGUUUCUUCCUACCGGAUGAAGUGCCUCUCAUGCCGACCGAAAGCUACGGAGAUACUGGCCUUCAACAACUCACCAACCUCAGGAAACACAUUGAGGAAUGGACUACAUCAAGCAGCACAUGGAAGAACCCUCCCUGCAGCUAGGUGAUGCCACCAGGUCCAGUUCAUCUGAUGAAGAGGACUUCUUCUUCAUCAUCUCAAGCGCAUGACAGCAGCAAACAGCUGGAUGGAGACGUGGAUCAAGUUGACUUGCUGAAAUGCUUCCCAACUGUGUGCAGGCUGUCUGUGAAGCUAGACACACUCUACCUGCACCAGGGCCUGUGAAGCUAGACACACUCUACCUGCAUCAGGGCCUGUGAAGCUAGACACACUCUACCUGCAUCAGGGCCUGUGAAGCUAGACACACUCUACCUGCACCAUGUGAACGGCUCUUCAGCAUCGCAGGACUCGUCUUCAGCCCCAGAAGAAUGACACGGAAAUCUGUCCAUUUUGAAAAUCAACUUCUUUUGAAGAUGAACAAUACAUUUUUCACUUUAAAGUGAUGAUUCUGGUUGUUACUUUUGCUUCUGCUUUUUUCUGUGUUAAUUGUGUUUUUAUAUUUUAGUAAUUUCAUAGUAUUCAUAUAUUGCUAAGUUCACCCGAGCUCAUACUCCUUGUUCAUGGCGGCCACAGCACCCAAACAAAUAAACUUUAUAAUUCUCAAAAUUCUGA